UACGGAGGAUGCGAGCGUUAUCCGGAAUCAUUGGGUUUAAAGGGUGCGUAGGCUGGUAUUUAAGUCAGUGGUGAAAUUUUCGUGCUUAACAUGAGAGCUGCCAUUGAUACUUGGGUACCUAGAGUGUAUUUGAUGUGGGCGGAAUGUGUUGUGUAGCGGUGAAAUGCUUAGAUAUACACAGAACACCGAUAGCGAAGGCAGCUCACAAAGUUACAACUGACGCUGAUGCACGAAGCGUGGGGAUCAAACAGG
RNAcentral lists this ribosomal RNA (252 nucleotides) under uncultured bacterium. RNAcentral describes it as "partial 16S ribosomal RNA". It matches the Rfam family "Bacterial small subunit ribosomal RNA", at positions 524 to 776 of the family's 1533-position model. The record is from RNAcentral.